Equus caballus (horse) is the source of this 2396-nucleotide long non-coding RNA. The record is from Ensembl. NCBI's taxonomy places the organism in Eukaryota, Metazoa, Chordata, Mammalia, Perissodactyla, Equidae.
GUAACAACCCCCACAUUUCAAUGACUUGACAUCAUAAAGGAGAAUUCCAUGCACAAUGUGAGUUGGAGGUUGACUCUCUCUCCUCUCGGCCAUCAGAGUCCUCUCUGUUCAGCCAGCAGCAUGUGUGGGAAGAGGGUCACAGUGGGCUGGGGAGGUUCUUAUGGGCCAGGUCUGGAAGGACACACAUCAGUUCCACUCACAUCGUUGGCCGAAACUCAAUCAUAUGACCACAUCUAACUGCCAGGGAAGGUGGUCUAACCGUGUCCUCAGAAAGAAGAGACGAACAUGGAUACCGAUGAGCAUUGCAAUCUCUGACAACGCUGAGUCUACACUGUGAAAACAAGAAACAGCAAUGGGUGAGACAAUCUCAGAUCAGUGUUAGGUCCAACCAGUGGACAAAAGGACUCCUUCGUCAAAUUCUGUUUCCUCUUCUGUAUGCAGCGACCAGACCACCAACAGUGAUGAAAAGGUCUCACCUGUCAUAUCCGGACCUGAGCAAUAAUCUCUAGCUUCUUGAGGUCAGCUCCAGCGUGCCUCUGAUCUUAUACUGGAGUGCAACAGUUCUACGCCAGAGACUCAGACUUCGAGAACACGAUGACAAUACAGACUUAAACUGUGUCUCAGCUCAUAAGAUUACUAAGAUCUUCAAAGAGCUCAUAAACGUGACUUCGUUAAAUUUUACAUGAAGUAAUGUCAGUAACUUAAUUCUCCCAAGCCCCACCCCACCAACCCCCACCCUGGGGAAAUGUCCCCUAGCAGGAAGGACACAUCUUUAGACAUCUUCCUUUCCACUCAGGGAUUUGUGUGGUAACCAGCCCUCUUUAGAACUGGGUGAUUUUAAUGAAAAAGCUCUAACGUCAAAGCUUCUGCCAUUUUUCUGCGGGACAAGAGUGGAGUCCUAGAGGAGAACGUCCUUUUGCUCUCGUGUCCUGCUGAGCACUUUCAUGAGAUAUUGGUAAUGCGAAGAUAAGCCUGGAAUUGUGUGGGGGGUAAAGGUGAAAAAUCUGCACUGAUCCACAAAGCGAUGGGAUGAGGAUGGUGUGGGUUGCAGCCCGGGAGACGCACGGGGAAGGUGAGCCUGGAGGACAGGCACCGAGGAGGCCCAGGCUGCAGUUGACCUAAUUUUUGUAAAUAAAUAAAACAGGUGCCCUUCACUUUAGUCAAACAUUACACGCAAAGGGAUUUGCAAAAUCAAUUCUCUUCUUGAUGUUUGGGGCACUCCUGUUUCAUGGUAAAAACUUGCAGUGUGAAUUAUCACCCCACAUAUAUAUGUUUUUAUUAUACUGUGUUUUAUUUUAGGUUUUCUUCAAGUGAGGAACCCCCAUACACAUUCUUUUUCAGGUUAUAAAUUUACGUAGGAUCCAGUAAAUGUUAACUUCCGUUGUCCUGGGAGAACAUAAAACCAGAUACUAUUUGUAGCAUUAAAAACAGUAGUUUGUACUGUACGUCAGAGUCUGUGCAUGAUAAAGACUUCCGCACGAAAGGUGGCGGAUUUCUAUCUCGAUACCGGUAGUCAGCUACAAAGUUCUGCAAUCUAGUUCCUUUUGUAAAGUUUCUCAUUUCUAUUAUUAGAAAAUUGUAUCGCAAAUAGGAACAGUGACUAAAUAUGUUUGAAGUCUCUUCUUCUAUUAGUUUGAAUAGUGACUCAGUGAAGCAUUCCUACAGACUUUUCACACUUGUUCAUAAACUUUAUUUAGUUUCCAAACUGAAUUUUGACUACACUGGAAAGUUGUUAUGUUAUUGUUAAUAAUUGAGCUACAGAACAAAAUUAUUUCACUCAGAUAACAGAGUUUUAAAAGCUUCUUCUAACCACUUGAUUCAACUGGUAUUGAUUGGCUCAAAGGUGCAUCCUAAAAUUAUUUUUAAAGAUUGCAUCAUUUGUCAAACUCUCUGUAUUACCUAGGGCACUAAGUGAUGAGAGUUAAUCCUCCUAGGUUUUAUCUUUGUAAAAUGAAAUCGAAUUUAUUUCCAUUUUUCUCAGUGAAAUUGAAGUGAGAUGUACAAAUCAAAGAAAAAGAUGGUACAUGUGUCCCAAACAGAAAUGUAAAACUAAUUUGAAACUUUAAAUAAAAUUUUUCAUAGAUAGUGUGGAAGAAAUAAAAUGAUAAAAAUACAGGGGGAAGUGAAAAGAAACGCUUCUAUCUAGGACUUUGUCUCAUUCGUACAUAACACAGUAUUAUUGUUGUUGUUGUCAUUGUUGUUAUUUUCUCCCAUUAAAAAAGAAGUGAUUCUAUUUGGGACUGUGCCUCAUUCUUAUAUCAUGCAGGAUUACUGGGUUGCUAUUGUUAUUUGCUCCCAAUAAUUUUUAGUUAAACCUACUGAAGAGGUGGUGGCAUUUCUGAUCACGCAGUAAUGAAAUGGUCACCAAAUGCUAACCAAGGAUCCCAAGUUCACCA